RNAcentral lists this ribosomal RNA (328 nucleotides) under uncultured eukaryote. Its description in RNAcentral is "partial 18S ribosomal RNA". It matches the Rfam family "Eukaryotic small subunit ribosomal RNA", at positions 1470 to 1796 of the family's 1831-position model. The record is from RNAcentral.
CCCUUAGAUGCUCUGGGCCGCACGCGCGCUACACUGGCCGAUGCAACGAGUUUCUUUCCUUGGCCGACAGGCCUGGGCAAUCUUUGAACAUCGAUCGUGAUCGGGAUAGAUUCUUGUAAUUUUUGAUCUUAAACGAGGAAUUCCUAGUAAACGCAAGUCAUCAGCUUGCAUUGAUUACGUCCCUGCCCUUUGUACACACCGCCCGUCGCUACUACCGAUUGAACGUUUUAGUGAGGUAUUUGGACUGGACCUUCGGAGGUUCGCGCCUCCGUUGCUGUUCGGGAAGACUCCCAAACUUGAGCGUUUAGAGGAAGUAAAANUCGUANCA